This is a long non-coding RNA of Loxodonta africana (African savanna elephant), 5324 nucleotides long. RefSeq lists it as uncharacterized. Lineage: Eukaryota; Metazoa; Chordata; Mammalia; Proboscidea; Elephantidae. The transcript has 11 exons. The record is from RefSeq and is a predicted model, not a curated record.
UCAGAUAUAUAGAAGAGAGUAGCCUGGCAAAAUAUACAAAGUUACUUAUGUUGUUUGGUGAGGACUGUUUUUUCUGAGAUUCCAGAGCAUUGUGUCGCUCGUGUGUGGUGGCUGGAUCCCUGCUGAGACUGUCCCAGAGGGUUAGGGCUGCGUCCAUGCUCACACCGUCUCAGGAAGCCACAAUCGGCUCCCCCACACUUAGUCCAAAGCCCAGCACCAGGGUUUCCUUUCUGGGACGCUGCACUCCAGGCUCCAGAACCAGUCGCUGCUUCCCUAUAGUUUUUCGUUUCCCUGUCAGCCACGUCUGUGUGGAGCCUGUGUGUGCUGCCUGGGUCCCCUCUGAGGUUGGUCCUGAGGGUUGGGCCUAUAUCUGUUCUUCCGUGUCUCAGUAAGCCACAAUCAGCCCCACCACUCUGACACCAGGAAACCACGAGGGCUCAAGGCUGUGGCGUGGGACACUGGCUCUGGAAGUGGUCCCUGCUGCAGCGUGGCUUUUCGCUCCCCCGUCACUCAGGUCAACUCCUUAGUUCUGUGUUUGAUGGUCAGGGUUUGUAGAUUGUCCUUUAUGUAAUCAGUUCACUUGUUUUUUCGAGUCUUUGUUUCAAGAGGGAUAAGCGGAAUCUUCUACCUAGUGAGCCAUCUUGGUCCUGCCCCCGUGUCUGCCUCUUUAUGUGAUUUGAUAUUGACUGUUGUCUCUGAGCCAUCUAUAAGUUAUUGUAUUAGUUUAUUUUAUGCUUGCUUUUUGUAUCCUAGCUUCUUGCUUUGUUUAGUUUUGGUAUACCCAAAUAAGCUGCUUGAGUGCACUAGGUUGAUUAUUUUCACCUUUGAAGCUCUAAUGUACUAUCACCAGAUGGCUAGCACUGUUACCAGGCAUAUGAGCCUAGGAGUUCAUUUAUUUUUCUUGUAUGGAUUCAACUCAGGUGCCCAGGUAGUUGGUCAUAAAGUGUGUGGUACGGGCUCUGUCCUACAGUCUUAAAGGGGCAGGGGUCAUUGGUGUAGGCAGAAGUAUCUGGCUGCAGUAGGGGGUCAGGCUCUGAUCAAGGCAGGGGUCUGACAGCUGUGCUCUGAGUGUCUGUGAGGAAAGUGCAUCCCUGUUCUGUAGAGCACAUGGGUGGGUUCUGUAGAAGGGCAGUGGGCACCCAAUGCUUUUGGUUGUAAGUUCUGGGCGGUACUACUUAUCCUUGGAGCCCUAUCACAGGUGGCUAGGUAUUGUGGGUGGAGCCAGCAGUCCUUAUGCCCCUGAUGUGGGUAGGUGAAGACCCUGUUUAAUAGGCAAAGCAGUGUCAAACAUCAAAUACCCAUCUUUCCACCGUUCAGGUGAAACAGUUGCAGUCUGGCAACAAGGGCCUAUUCUCCUGAAAUGGGCCCACACAGGUCCAUGCUGGGGUGAAAGGUAUUCAAAGCCCAUGGACUGUUUGUGCCUGAACAAGAGCUGCUUCUGUCCUGAGCUCCCCAGCUUAAUUGAGCUGGCAGAUUAUCUUUCCCCCAGUUGUGAACUUAUACCUUCUUCAAGGAUGGAAAAAUGGCUCAGAGUGGUACCAGGGCCUAUCUCAGGCCCAGGGAAGUUGACAGCCACUGAAGCCGGCUUGGGGGCUGGGGGCGUGGUAAAAUAAACACAAGUAAUUAGCUUUUGCUGAGAGUGCCGUUCUUCUCUUGUUCUGGAGGUGUGAGUAGUCUGUGCAACUUGCUGUCCUUCCCUGAGCUAAACGCCUGUGGAACGCCACUGCCAGCCCCACUGCAGUCGCUCCAGGGAACGGUGCCUGAGGGUUCCUGGCUAUUCAGGUCCAGUAACUCCUCUCCACUUCUGAAUAGUCUCUCCCUCCCCCUGCCGCUGAGUCCAUUUUCUAACUUUACCUUUGAUGUUCAGGGCUCCUAGCUUCUCAUAAAUAUAAUCGCUUCACUUGUUUUUUCUGGUCUUUUUUGUAAGAGGGAUCACUGGUGGCGUCUCAAUACUCAAAACUUCAUCAUUUCUUCCUUUCACUUUAGCUACUCGACAUUCAAGAGCAACGUUCAGAGUCUCUUCCGACAUCCGUUUUGGUCUUUUCUUUCUUUCCUGUCUUUUAAAGGAUCUCUUGCUUUCUUCAUGUGUGAUGUCCUUGAUGUCAUUCCACAACUCGUCUGGUCUUCAGUCGUUAGUGUUCAACACGUAAAAUGUGUUCUUGAGGUGGUCUCUAAAUACAGGUGAGAUAUACUCAAGGUCAUAUUUUGGCCCCUUUUGACUUAUUCUAAUUUUCUUCAGUUUCAACUUGAACUCCCAUAUGAGCAAUUGACAGUCUGUUUCACAAUUGAUCCCUGGCCUUGUUGUGACUGAUGAUAUGAGUUUUCCCAUCUUCUCUUUCCACAGAUGUAGUCAGUUUGAUUCCUGUGUAUUCCAUCUGGUAAAGUCCACGUGUAUAGCUGCCGUUUAUGUUGGUGAAAAAAAAUAUUUGCAGUGGAUGAGUCACUGGUCUUGCAGAAUUCUUUCAUGAGAUUUCUGGUGUCAUUUAUUUCAUCGAUGCUGUAUUUUCCAACUACUUUUCCUUCUUUGUUUCCAACUUUAACAUUCUAAUGACCAGUAAUUAUCAAUGCAUCUUGAUUGCAUGUUUGAUCAAUUUCAGGCUGCAGAAGUUGUUUAAAAUCUUCAAUUUCUUUAUCUUUGGCAUUAGUGGUUGGUGCAUAAAUUUGAAUAGUCGUAUAAACUAGUCUUCCUUGUAAGUGUAUGGAUUUUAGCCUAUUAGUGACAACAUUGUACUUCAGGCUAGAUCUUGAAAUGUUCUCUUUGAUGAUAUGUAACGUCAUUCUUUUGACUCUAGUGGAAUAUCCAUGUUUGUAAGACUGCUCACAGACUGUUUCACCAGAGAGUUUUCUGGUACUGCAACAUCUACCACUAAUCUCUGUGAUCCCUGUGAAUUGGCAAAAUAAGAAUAGUGCUAUAGAUUUCUUCCAAAUACAGAAAACAUAAGUAUGAAAAUGUUCUUGCUGUUGAUUAUAUUCUUUACCAAUCUGUUUGUGUGGGAUUUUUGGUACUUCACUUGAAAAAUGAGUCCAAGGUACUGUGAUGUGAUUGUUUACUUUGUGUGGCCUUUCUAGCCAUGGUCUUAUAACAUCCACCCUGGUGCUUGGGCAGGACUGUGUGAUAGGGUAAUUGUGGCUCACCAAGGGGAUUGUUUAUUUUCCCUUCAAAGAGAACCAGUUCCAGAGCAAAGAGGAGGAUUCAACUCCCAUCAAGGAAGAACAGCCAAGAGCCGAGCGUAUAUUAUGGACCUGAGAUCCCUGCACUGAGAAGCUCCUAGAAGCAAGAGACUGAGAUAGAGAGAGGAAGCUGUAACCCUGAAGAUGCUUAAAUACAGACCAGAAGAGGAGUUUGGGGCUUGACACCUGACAUCUUAACACCAGUUCCUGUUUCUUGAGGAAGGAAGAGGUAAAAUAAAUCAGCGUUUACUGUUUCCUUCUCCAUCCCCGGAAGUCCUGAUGAAGACCCUCUCAGGAGGGAAGAGGUAAAAAAGAAGGCAGUGUCUACUAUGUCCUUUGCCAUGUGUGUCAGGAAAUCCUCAUGAAGAGCCUCUCAGCUUCAACUUGAACGUGAAUAUGAGCAACUGAUCAUCUGUUCUGCAGUCAGCCCCUGGCCUGCUUCUGACUCAUGAUAUUGACCUUCUCCAUCAUCACCUUCCACAAAUUUGAUUCCUGUCUAUUCUGCCUGGAAUGGUUCAUGAGUAUAGUCACCGUUUAUGUUCCUGAUGAAAGCUUUUCCAAGCAUGAUGAGCCUCUCCUGGGACAGGUCUCUCCUGAAAAUAUGUCCAAGGCACGUGAGACGAAGUCUCGCCAUCCUUGCUUCUAAGACCAGCUUCUCAGAUUAUUUGCUCAGCAUACAGAUUGACUUCAACUUGAACGUGAAUAUGAGCAACUGAUCAUCUGUUCUGCAGUCAGCCCCUGGCCUGCUUCUGACUCAUGAUAUUGACCUUCUCCAUCAUCACCUUCCACAAAUUUGAUUCCUGUCUAUUCUGCCUGGAAUGGUUCAUGAGUAUAGUCACCGUUUAUGUUCCUGAUGAAAGCUUAAAUACAGACCAGAAGAGGAGUUUGGGGCUUGACACCUGACAUCUUAACACCAGUUCCUGUUUCUUGAGGAAGGAAGAGGUAAAAUAAAUCAGCGUUUACUGUUUCCUUCUCCAUCCCCGGAAGUCCUGAUGAAGACCCUCUCAGCUUCAACUUGAACGUGAAUAUGAGCAACUGAUCAUCUGUUCUGCAGUCAGCCCCUGGCCUGAUUCUGACUCAUGGUAUUGACCUUCUCCAUCAUCACCUUCCACAAAUUUGAUUCCUGUCUAUUCUGCCUGGAAUGGUUCAUGAGUAUAGUCACCGUUUAUGUUCCUGAUGAAAGCAGGAGACGGAUUCGUGGAGAGAGGCGGAUUCCAUGUGUGCUGGCAAAGUGUGUGCUGAGAUGAUGAGUCGCUGGAGACCAGGGUGGACUCUUCAGACCCAGGAUAGGCCUCUGGCAGCAGGAGAAGGAUUCGUGGAGAGAGGCGGAUUCCAUGUGUGCUGGCAAAGUGUGUGCUGAGAUGAUGAGUCGCUGGAGACCAGGGUGGACUCUUCAGACCCAGGAUAGGCCUCUGGCAGGUAUGUGUCAAUGUUUUCUGCCCAUGGCACUCAGCCGGGUAUUUGAAUCCAAUGUUAUCAGCGGAAUUAGUAGUCUCCGGAGAGGCUGCCACAUGUCAACAAGAUUCACCCAGCCAAGGUUCACCCGUGAUGUAGCUCCCCAAUCAAUCACUACUCCCUAGUCCUUCCAGAUAGACUACCAGAUCUUCUGUGCCCAUGGGCAACCAGUACAGCCAGAGGCCUUCCCCCUUUGCUCUUUCGUCUCUAGACACUCUGUCAGGCACUCCAAGCUGCGAAGUGACUCAGGGGGAGAAGGAAGAGAUUUCCGAGAAGGAACACAUACAGAGAGAGAGGCAAGAGAUGCUGAGUGGGGAUGUCUUGCGUACUGAUAUCCUGAGGAAAGUGGGAAAAUUGGACCCUGGCCUGCUGUGCCAAUGCCCUGAAGCAGUCCGCACCAGGGGCUCCCUUGUGCCUGCGUAGCCUUUCCCAGGGUGUGCUCAAAUCCUGUGGCCACUAGGUGUCUUGGGUCACAAUGGAGGGCCCUGUGUCAUCUGCCUGGCGGGCUGGAUCUCUGCCAUUGGCUGAGUCUUGUCGCCAGGCCCAUCAUAAGAUGCGCCCACUCUGCCGGUGGGGAGACUGUCUCCAUGGUGAUGGCAAAGAAGCCUUAGUCCCGCCCACCUGGCCUUGACUUCACCUACCCGGCCUGCUGACCCUCACUCAGACCUCUGUGUUGAUCAAAAUGAAUGUCCGCCAGU